Molecule: ribosomal RNA, 505 nt
Filed under: uncultured Geobacter sp.
Lineage: Bacteria; Pseudomonadati; Thermodesulfobacteriota; Desulfuromonadia; Geobacterales; Geobacteraceae
Description: bacterial SSU rRNA
Rfam family: Bacterial small subunit ribosomal RNA
Source: RNAcentral
ACUCCUACGGGAGGCAGCAGUGGGGAAUUUUGCGCAAUGGGCGAAAGCCUGACGCAGCAACGCCGCGUGAGUGAUGGAGGCUUUCGGGUCGUAAAGCUCUGUCAGGGGGAAAGAAGUGUAUUGCGGCUAAUAUCCGCGAUACUUGACGGUACCCCCAAAGGAAGCACCGGCUAACUCCGUGCCAGCAGCCGCGGUAAUACGGAGGGUGCAAGCGUUGUUCGGAAUUAUUGGGCGUAAAGCGCGUGUAGGCGGUUUGCUAAGUCUGAUGUGAAAGCCCCGGGCUCAACCCGGGAAGUGCAUUGGAAACUGGCAGACUUGAAUACGGGAGAGGGUAGUGGAAUUCCUAGUGUAGGAGUGAAAUCCGUAGAUAUUAGGAGGAACACCGGUGGCGAAGGCGGCUGCCUGGACCGAUAUUGACGCUGAGACGCGAAAGCGUGGGUAGCAAACAGGAUUAGAUACCCUGGUAGUCCACGCCGUAAACGAUGAGAACUAGGUGUCGCGGGUA